CUACAACACAGAGUGGCAUUAAGUAUGAGCAGAGUUCACCGGGAACAAAAUGUUUUUUCCAGGCACAGGGAAAGCUGCUGCCAGAGCCCGGCCAGCUGCUGACCCCCUGCCAGGGAGCAUGCUGAGCACAAAAUAUUUUUAAGCAUCUUGUAAAACUCUGCUCUGAAUGAGAAAGAAAUGUUUUACUCUUGUCUGUCACUCUGCCAGAAAGCCUCUUACGGAUUGUGGCUGUCAGGCGAAGUCUUUGUGGCUGUCAGGCGAAGUCCCCGGUGAUGAUAAAAAAGGGAAACAUCACUGCCAUUUUUAACAGAGAGAAAGGAAGACCUGGGAACUACAGGCUGGUGAGCUUCACAUCUGUGCCUGGAAAGAUCAUGGAGUGGAUCCUCCUGGAAGAGAUGUUAAGGCACACUGAGAUGAAGGGGUGAUCCGAGACAGCCAGCACAGCUUCACCAAGGGCAGAGCGUGCCUGAACCAUCCGGUGGCCUUCUGUGAUGGAGUGACAGCAUUUGGUGGGCAAAGGAAGUGCAACUGAUGUCAUCUACCUGGAGUUGUGCCUUUGACACAGUCCUGCACCACAUCCUUAUCUCCAAAUUGGAGGCUGGGAGUUGGACUAGAUGAACUUCAAAGGCUUCUUCCAACUCUAAGGAUUCUAUGAUUCAAAUUGGUUGGAUGGUCGCAGCCAGAGGGCUGUUGUCAAUGGCUCCAUGUCCAGGUGGAGGCCGGUGAUGAGUGGUGUCCCCCAGGGGUCCAUCCUGGGACCGGAGCUCUUCAGCAUCUCUAUCAGUGACACAGAUGGUGGGAUGGAGUGCACCCUCAGCAGUUUGCUGAUGACACCGAGCUGAGUGGUGCAGUGGACACAACAGAAGGAAGGGACGCCAUGCAGAGGGACAUUCCAGGGGGAAUGGCUUUAAAUUACGAGAGUGGAGAUAGGGAGAUGCUGUCCUCCUCCCUCUCCUGCCAGCCCGUCCCCCUCAGCAGCACACUGCAACCCCUGACCCCUCUGCUAGGAGAAAGGAAUACUAAUUGCUUGGAGACACUCCACAGAAAGUGGACGUUAAGUGGACUAAUGCUGAACGGCAAUGGAAAUUACAGCACGGACGCCAUCAGAAUCCAUCACAACUAAUGCGAUUAGAGCUGGCAGCACAGGAAUUCGUAAUGAUCUGCACUGUGCCCUCAAGUUGUGAC
Molecule: long non-coding RNA, 1185 nt
Filed under: Gallus gallus (chicken)
Lineage: Eukaryota; Metazoa; Chordata; Aves; Galliformes; Phasianidae
Description: lncRNA (ENSGALG00010026269.1)
Source: RNAcentral